Molecule: unclassified non-coding RNA, 217 nt
Filed under: soil metagenome
Description: partial contains 5.8S ribosomal RNA, internal transcribed spacer 2, and large subunit ribosomal RNA
Source: RNAcentral
AACAUCGCGCACCUGCGGGAACCUGCGGAAGGAUCAUUACAGAGUUCAUGCCCUCACGGGUAGAUCUCCCACCCUUGAAUACUAUACCUUUGUUGCUUUGGCGGGCCGCUUUGGCUACUGGCUCUGGCUAGUAAGUGCCCGCCAAAGAACCCCAAAACUCUGAAUAUUAGUGUCGUCUGAGUACUAUAUAAUAGUUAAAACUUUCAACAACGGAUCU